RNA transcript from Rosa rugosa (rugosa rose), 1167 nucleotides. RefSeq lists it as uncharacterized. The record is from RefSeq and is a predicted model, not a curated record. The transcript has 3 exons. Lineage: Eukaryota; Viridiplantae; Streptophyta; Magnoliopsida; Rosales; Rosaceae.
CCAAAGAGAAUAUGGGAAUCUUCGAACCCUUCAUAGCGAUCGGCUACACAACCACCUCCGUCCCCUUCUCCGUUCAGCGCCUCGGCACGGAAGCCUUCGUCACUGUCAGCGUCGGCAGAGCCUUCCAAAUUUACAAUUGCGCAAUGAAAGCUCUCCCGUCCUCGUUGGUGAGUUCCUUUCUCUUGUUUUGGUUUUCGAAUUUCUAAAUUUCUACGCUUUAUGACAAAGAAGAAUACUUUUUUGUAUUGUUAGAUAAAAACUUCACUGCAUUUUGCUGUGUUUUCAGGGUGUUUGGAUCAAGUUGUGUGGUUAUGCGAACUCUGUUUGCUUUCAUUUCUGAAGGUUCGCAAUUUUCGUUACAUUACUUUUUUCUUUUGUACACAAUUAGGUUGUCAAACUCUGUAGGUAGGACCAUAGGAGAUAAGUUGGUGAUUGUAAAUCAGUCGUUAUAAGUUGUUUAUUGAGCUUUUCGUUCUUCAUCAAGCAAAGAAGCCUUUCUAUGAGUACCAUGACAACUUGAGCCUAUCUACUCCAUGAACCAACAAUGAUUGGGAACGAUAUACUGUUUCUCCUGCCUUAGCAUAUCUAUAUCUGCUGAUAGUAGUUCUACAAGCAUAGGCAUGUUAAUUGAACUUAGGAUUACAAAAGUAAUUAUGAAAUUAUAAGUUUUUGUUUAUUCCUUUUGAAGAUUGUUUUUUUCCUCUGUCCAACAUGACCCUAUUUUUUUUGCAGAAUUAAUUACUUCUUCAACAUUAAUCUUUUUUUUUACUUUAGAUCAUAGUUAUUCGGCUCUCUCGUCGUUAUUAUUUCUUGCUAGAGGUUUUUUCUGAUUUGUUAUUAUUUCUCAUGUUAUUUCAACCGGUAUGUAAUAAUAUUGAUGGCAUUUUUACUUCUCAAAAAAUAAAAAAGUAUUGGAUAACUAAUUGAAAUGCCAAUGUUUAAUUGAUUAAGAUUUGACUCUUUAUUCAUCUUUAGAUGUGGAUUUUUGACACAAGUGAUGGAGAUGCUCGUCUUUUACAGUUUAGAAGUGGUCAUAGUGAUCCUCCACAAUACAUGAGAGAGUUGGUUGAGUUUCUGUUCCUCAACUAGCUGAUCCAAGGACGCUUCAAAACCAGAAUACCUCUUUUCGCCAAGGGUGAUCUCAGCCCGGAUUGAAGAUGCUCGCAC